GAGGACAAGUGCGGGAGCUAUACAUGCAAGUCGAGCGAACGGACGAGAAGCUUGCUUCUCUGAUGUUAGCGGCGGACGGGUGAGUAACACGUGGAUAACCUACCUAUAAGACUGGGAUAACUUCGGGAAACCGGAGCUAAUACCGGAUAAUAUUUUGAACCGCAUGGUUCAAAAGUGAAAGACGGUCUUGCUGUCACUUAUAGAUGGAUCCGCGCUGCAUUAGCUAGUUGGUAAGGUAACGGCUUACCAAGGCAACGAUGCAUAGCCGACCUGAGAGGGUGAUCGGCCACACUGGAACUGAGACACGGUCCAGACUCCUACGGGAGGCAGCAGUAGGGAAUCUUCCGCAAUGGGCGAAAGCCUGACGGAGCAACGCCGCGUGAGUGAUGAAGGUCUUCGGAUCGUAAAACUCUGUUAUUAGGGAAGAACAUAUGUGUAAGUAACUGUGCACAUCUUGACGGUACCUAAUCAGAAAGCCACGGCUAACUACGUGCCAGCAGCCGCGGUAAUACGUAGGUGGCAAGCGUUAUCCGGAAUUAUUGGGCGUAAAGCGCGCGUAGGCGGUUUUUUAAGUCUGAUGUGAAAGCCCACGGCUCAACCGUGGAGGGUCAUUGGAAACUGGAAAACUUGAGUGCAGAAGAGGAAAGUGGAAUUCCAUGUGUAGCGGUGAAAUGCGCAGAGAUAUGGAGGAACACCAGUGGCGAAGGCGACUUUCUGGUCUGUAACUGACGCUGAUGUGCGAAAGCGUGGGGAUCAAACAGGAUUAGAUACCCUGGUAGUCCACGCCGUAAACGAUGAGUGCUAAGUGUUAGGGGGUUUCCGCCCCUUAGUGCUGCAGCUAACGCAUUAAGCACUCCGCCUGGGGAGUACGACCGCAAGGUUGAAACUCAAAGGAAAUUGACGGGGACCCGCACAAGCGGUGGAGCAUGUGGUUUAAUUCGAAGCAACGCGAAGAACCUUACCAAAUCUUGACAUCCUUUGACAACUCUAGAGAUAGAGCCUUCCCCUUCGGGGGACAAAAGUGACAGGGGUUGCAUGGUUGUCGUCAGCUCGGUGUCGUGAGAUGUGGGGUUAGUUCCCGCAAACGAGCGCAACCCUUAGCUAAGUUGCCAAUCAUUAAGUUGGGCACCUCUAAGUUGACUGCCGGGUUGACAACGAAGAAGGUGGGGAUGACGUCCAAAUCAUUCAUGAUCCCUUAUAUGAAUUGGCUAC
RNAcentral lists this ribosomal RNA (1212 nucleotides) under Staphylococcus aureus. RNAcentral describes it as "bacterial SSU rRNA". It matches the Rfam family "Bacterial small subunit ribosomal RNA", at positions 25 to 1217 of the family's 1533-position model. The record is from RNAcentral. Lineage: Bacteria; Bacillati; Bacillota; Bacilli; Caryophanales; Staphylococcaceae.